RNAcentral lists this ribosomal RNA (66 nucleotides) under Stereum rugosum. Its description in RNAcentral is "partial 18S ribosomal RNA". The stretch from base 1 to 52 matches the Rfam family "Eukaryotic small subunit ribosomal RNA", at positions 1781 to 1831 of the family's 1831-position model. The record is from RNAcentral. Lineage: Eukaryota; Fungi; Basidiomycota; Agaricomycetes; Russulales; Stereaceae.
AGUAAAAGUCGUAACAAGGUUUUCCGUAGGUGAACCUGCGGAAGGAUCAUUAAUGAAAUUUAUGAC